Molecule: ribosomal RNA, 156 nt
Filed under: uncultured bacterium
Lineage: Bacteria
Description: partial 16S rRNA
Source: RNAcentral
CGUACGAACGAAGGCGAUAAAGCGGGCAAACAGCAGCGCGGAAAGCCCGUGCUUAUGGAACAGAUGAUACGCGCGCUGGUGGUAGUGUGAGGGAAGGUGCGAUAGCCAGUUUUGUACGAUUCGCCUAUUUCCCAGCCAGCGGCCCUGAAUAUAGCU